AUCCAACUGAAGAGUCCCAAACAGGACGAAAAAUGAGCCCUAGAU
This is a non-coding RNA of Schistosoma mansoni, 45 nucleotides long. The record is from Rfam. Lineage: Eukaryota; Metazoa; Platyhelminthes; Trematoda; Strigeidida; Schistosomatidae.